AACGAACGCUGGCGGCAUGCCUAACACAUGCAAGUCGAACGAGACCUUCGGGUCUAGUGGCGCACGGGUGCGUAACGCGUGGGAACCUGCCCUUAGGUUCGGAAUAACUCCCCGAAAGGGGUGCUAAUACCGGAUAAUGUCUUCGGACCAAAGAUUUAUUGCCUUUGGAUGGGCCCGCGUUGGAUUAGCUAGUUGGUAGGGUAAAAGCCUACCAAGGCGACGAUCCAUAGCUGGUCUGAGAGGAUGAUCAGCCACACUGGGACUGAGACACGGCCCAGACUCCUACGGGAGGCAGCAGUGGGGAAUAUUGGACAGUGGGCGAAAGCCUGAUCCAGCAAUGCCGCGUGAGUGAUGAAGGCCUUAGGGUUGUAAAGCUCUUUUAACCGGGAUGAUAAUGACAGUACCGGGAGAAUAAGCUCCGGCUAACUCCGUG
This 433-nucleotide ribosomal RNA is filed under the name uncultured bacterium. RNAcentral describes it as "partial 16S ribosomal RNA". It matches the Rfam family "Bacterial small subunit ribosomal RNA", at positions 29 to 507 of the family's 1533-position model. The record is from RNAcentral.